GCGGCGGAUGGGUGAGUAACACGUGGGCAACCUGCUUGUAAGACUGGGAUAACUCGCGGAAACGCGAGCUAAUACCGGAUAACAUUUCGGAUCGCAUGAUCCGGAAUGGAAAGAUGGCUUCGGCUAUCACUUACAGAUGGGCCCGCGGCGCAUUAGCUAGUUGGUGGGGUAAAGGCCCACCAAGGCAACGAUGCGUAGCCGACCUGAGAGGGUGAUCGGCCACACUGGGACUGAGACACGGCCCAGACUCCUACGGGAGGCAGCAGUAGGGAAUCUUCCGCAAUGGACGAAAGUCUGACGGAGCAACGCCGCGUGAGUGAUGAAGGUCUUCGGAUCGUAAAACUCUGUUGUCAGGGAAGAACAAGUGCCGUUUGAAUAAGGCGGCACCUUGACGGUACCUGACCAGAAAGCCACGGCUAACUACGUGCCAGCAGCCGCGGUAAUACGUAGGUGGCAAGCGUUGUCCGGAAUUAUUGGGCGUAAAGCGCUCGCAGGCGGUUCCUUAAGUCUGAUGUGAAAUCUUGCA
RNAcentral lists this ribosomal RNA (526 nucleotides) under uncultured bacterium. RNAcentral's name for it is "bacterial SSU rRNA". It matches the Rfam family "Bacterial small subunit ribosomal RNA", at positions 95 to 606 of the family's 1533-position model. The record is from RNAcentral.